CGAACGGGUGGGUAACGCGUGAGGAACCUGCCUCAAAGAGGGGGACAACAGUUGGAAACGACUGCUAAUACCGCAUAAGCCCACGGCUCGGCAUCGAGCAGAGGGAAAAGGAGCAAUCCGCUUUGAGAUGGCCUCGCGUCCGAUUAGCUAGUUGGUGAGGUAACGGCCCACCAAGGCGACGAUCGGUAGCCGGACUGGGAGGUUGAACGGCCACAUUGGGACUGAGACACGGCCCAG
RNAcentral lists this ribosomal RNA (237 nucleotides) under uncultured bacterium. RNAcentral describes it as "partial 16S ribosomal RNA". It matches the Rfam family "Bacterial small subunit ribosomal RNA", at positions 99 to 334 of the family's 1533-position model. The record is from RNAcentral.